UACGUAGGGUGCGAGCGUUAAUCGGAAUUACUGGGCGUAAAGCGUGCGCAGGCGGUUCGUUGUGUCGGCGGUGAAAGCCCCGGGCUCAACCUGGGAAUGGCCGUUGAAACUGGCGAACUGGAGUGUGGCAGAGGGGGGUGGAAUUCCGCGUGUAGCAGUGAAAUGCGUAGAUAUGCGGAGGAACACCGAUGGCGAAGGCAAUCCCCUGGACCUGUACUGACGCUCAUGCACGAAAGCGUGGGGAUCAAACAGG
RNAcentral lists this ribosomal RNA (253 nucleotides) under uncultured bacterium. RNAcentral describes it as "partial 16S ribosomal RNA". It matches the Rfam family "Bacterial small subunit ribosomal RNA", at positions 524 to 776 of the family's 1533-position model. The record is from RNAcentral.